AGUGGGAUACCUGGAUUAAAUGGUGAUUACAUUCCAAGUUUUCUGAGGACUCUCCAUACUGCUUUCCAGAGUGGUUGCACCAAUUUAUAGUCCCACCAGGAAU
Molecule: microRNA precursor, 103 nt
Filed under: Marmota monax (woodchuck)
Lineage: Eukaryota; Metazoa; Chordata; Mammalia; Rodentia; Sciuridae
Source: RNAcentral